CAGAGUGGGAAGUGAGAGCUGGGAGCAGCAGCCCCCUCUGCAGUCCGAGGGGUAGCUGGAUCACCAGCUGGGGAAGGUCAGCCCCCAGGGCAGCAAGGCCUCCCUGCGAGUGGUAAAAUAAGGCCCUGCCCCAGUUCUCCAAAGGACUCUAUAUAUGAGGAACUGUGUUCUUGCAGGAAUAACAAAGCAGACGUGAAGGCAAAGCUGUUCUUAUUUUAGCACUUUCAUUUUUUUCAAAGCCAUUCCUUUCCCCACUAGUUGUAAGUUCUUCCUGCCAGCACCUUUGAGAGGCAGAUCUAUAACCACAGCCCCAUUUUAGAGAAACAAAGACUGCUGCUAAAGGUCAUGGAAAUUAUGGUUAGAGACAGGCAUCUUUAGAAAUUUUGUAUAAAGCUCACCCAUCCCUUAACUCAAGUUUCCAAAGCAGAAUGUGACAAAUUUGCUCAUUCCCCAGGAUAUCUUGGCCUUCAGACAACUAAGAUAUCUCUUUACGCAGUAUGACAAUACAAUCCUUCCUUUUCCUGCCUUUGAGUUAAGACUUCUUUAAGAAAUUCAUCUUCCAUUUUUGCACUUUUAACAUGUUGUUCCAAAUUCCUAAAGCAUCUUUUAGAAAUAAUGAAUGGGUAGCUUUUCCAAGUGUAAGAGAUGAACAGGGUGGGCUAGCCUGUCUGCUAGGACCAGGC
This 683-nucleotide long non-coding RNA is filed under the name Marmota monax (woodchuck). Lineage: Eukaryota; Metazoa; Chordata; Mammalia; Rodentia; Sciuridae. The record is from RNAcentral.